AUGGUUAUCCUCCAUUUGAAAAGAAAAUUUAUUAAAUAAACCUGAGCCAAACAGCAUAAUCAGUAACUGAAGAACCUCUCUCACUAAUAAAUGUAAAUUCUCCCAUUAUAUCCCCUGAAUCUCUCCCAUUCAAAAUUAAUAAAUUUCAUUCCAUACAAAAAAUCAAGUAAACCUUUACCUCUAUCAUUAACAACUUGAUUUAUUACACAGGAAUUCUAAGGAUAAAUGUUCAAACAAUUAUAAAUAUACUCAUCAAUAUAAGCAAUAUUAGUUCCAAUUCUAGCAUUAAAAUCACCAGCAACUAGAACGUCAUUAUCCAAAUCUGCCAUAACUCUGGAUAAAUUUUGCAUAAUAAUGCUCCACUUAUUUUCUUGUAAAUACAAAAAUACACUUUAUAUAAUCACAUUUAAAUAUAACAUAAUUACAGUCUUUCCUAAUAAUCUCAAAAUCAAUAUUAUUCAGAAUUCAAAGUAUCCAGCCAUUAGUGAGUCUAUCCAUUUUACUUACUUUAAAACCAGGCAUAACAAUCAACUUAAAAUUAUCCAAAUCUUGAAAAUCCAGCCAAUCGUGUCACACCAUGUUUCAGAAAGAAAAAACAUAUUAAAGCUCAAAAUAUAUUCCCAAAAUUUACUACUCUUGUGCUGGCUUAAAGAAUAAUUCCACACCAAUAUCGAAAAACCAAUAUCUCAUUGUCACUUUGAAUCAUGAAAUUCUUUAACAGAAGAAGACAAAAUUAUCAUAAUAAUAUAACUUUCCAUCUAUUUUAAUUUUAUCAUAAACCAAAUUAAUCUCAUUUGCCCCAUUCUCUUUGCUUU
RNAcentral lists this long non-coding RNA (815 nucleotides) under Androctonus crassicauda. Lineage: Eukaryota; Metazoa; Arthropoda; Arachnida; Scorpiones; Buthidae. The record is from RNAcentral.